RNAcentral lists this ribosomal RNA (497 nucleotides) under uncultured bacterium. RNAcentral's name for it is "partial 16S ribosomal RNA". It matches the Rfam family "Bacterial small subunit ribosomal RNA", at positions 28 to 507 of the family's 1533-position model. The record is from RNAcentral.
GACGAACGCUGGCGGCGUGCCUAAUACAUACAAGUUGAGCGCUGAAGGUUGGUACUUGUCCUAACUGGAUGAGCAGCGCACGGGUGAGUAAAGCGUGGGGAAUCCGCCCUUGUGCGGGGGACAACAUACGGAAACGAAUGCUAAUACCGCAUAAAAACUUUAAACACAAGUUGUAGGUUUGAAAGAUGCAAUUGCAUCACUCAAAGAUGAUCCCGCGUUGUAUUAGCUAGUUGGUGAGGUAAAGGCUCACCAAGGCGAUGAUACAUAGCCGACCUGAGAGGGUGAUCGGCCACAUUGGGACUUGGACACGGCCCAAACUCCUACGGGAGGCAGCAGGAGGGAAUCUUCGGCAAUGGACGAAAGUCUGACCGAGCAACGCCGCGUGAGUGAAGGAGGGUUUCGGAUCGUAAAACUCUGUUGGUAGAGGAGAACGUUGGUGAGGGUGGAAAGCUCAUCAAGUGACGUUAACUACCCAGAAAGGGACGGCUAACUACGUG